This 239-nucleotide unclassified non-coding RNA is filed under the name uncultured fungus. RNAcentral's name for it is "partial contains 5.8S rRNA and ITS2". The stretch from base 1 to 52 matches the Rfam family "5.8S ribosomal RNA", at positions 103 to 154 of the family's 154-position model. The record is from RNAcentral. Lineage: Eukaryota; Fungi.
AACGCACAUUGCGCCCGGUGGUAUUCCGCCGGGCAUGCCUGUUCGAGCGUCAUUAUAACCACUCAAGCCUAGCUUGGUAUUGGGGUUCGCGGUUACGCGGCUCCUAAAAUCAGUGGCGGUGCCGGUGGGCUCUAAGCGUAGUAAAUCUCCUCGCUAUAGGGUCCCUCUGGUUGCUUUGCCAAAACCCCCAAUUUUUAUAGGUUGACCUCGGAUCAGGUAGGGAUACCCGCUGAACUUAA